RNAcentral lists this ribosomal RNA (488 nucleotides) under uncultured bacterium. RNAcentral's name for it is "bacterial SSU rRNA". It matches the Rfam family "Bacterial small subunit ribosomal RNA", at positions 29 to 526 of the family's 1533-position model. The record is from RNAcentral.
AGUGAACGCUAGUGGCGUGCUUAACACAUGCAAGUCGAACGGACGAUAUUUGUGCUUGCACAAAUAAAGUUAGUGGCAAACGGGUGAGUAAUACAUGAGAAUUUUCCUUGCAGUACGGAAUAACUAUUGGAAACAGUAGCUAAUACCGUAUAUUGCCGAGAGGUGAAAGAUUUAUCGCUGCAAGAUAAGCCCAUGCAAGAUUAGCUUGUUGGUAAGGUAAUGGCUUACCAAGGCUACGAUCUUUAGCUGGUUUGAGAGGAUGAUCAGCCACACUGGAACUUAGACACGGUCCAGACUCCUACGGGAGGCAGCAGUGAGGAAUAUUGGGCAAUGGAGGCAACUCUGACCCAGCCAUGCCGCGUGCAGGAAGACGGCCCUAUGGGUUGUAAACUGCUUUUAUACAGGAAGAACACCACCCACGUGUGGGUGACUGACGGUACUGUAAGAAUAAGGACCGGCUAACUCCGUGCCAGCCGCCGCCGUAACAC